Long non-coding RNA from Mytilus trossulus (common blue mussel), 801 nucleotides. RefSeq lists it as uncharacterized. The record is from RefSeq and is a predicted model, not a curated record. The transcript has 3 exons. NCBI's taxonomy places the organism in Eukaryota, Metazoa, Mollusca, Bivalvia, Mytilida, Mytilidae.
CUCAACUGUUCAGAAGACAGAGUCAUGUGACAGACAGACAAAGAGUGAAGAAAAUGGGCCAGGUUGCUGAGAGGUCAAUAUCUAGGACAGUUGCAAUUAUUUGUAGCAUAUCUGAUAGCACAGUGAAAUUAGAAGUCAGAGAUGGACAUAAUUCUUACAACAAUGCUUCUUGGAGAGAUUGACUUCACAAACAAUCAAUACUCGCAUCAAAGACCAACAUGCAAAACCUGUAAGGAAGGUGGAUGUCAGGCAUUGUCAACAGUUAACUCUUGAUACAUUGUAAUUUAAAACAAUACCUGUAUGAAAUGUUUACAUUGUCAUUAGGAAAAUGAAACUAAGUCAUCAUUCUUCUAGGGGUCAUUAAAUAGCAUAAUCUGAGUCUGAAGCAAACCAUUUAUGUCAUUACAAAAUUUUGAAAAUAGAAACAAAAGCAAAAUAAUGAUGGAAAAUGGACAGCAGGCUUAUUAUAAAAUUGAAAUAAAGAAAUAUUAGAAGAAAAUAAAUCUAUAUUAUAGGAGUCAGUAUUGCAACAAUUUUUUCACAAUUUUAGGGAAAUUAACAAGCUGGUGGAAGCUAUACAUUGUACAACAUAUGAUAAUUAUGAUUUAAGAUUAUAAGAUCCUAAAACUAUAAUGAACUCUUGAUUAAAACUAAAGUAUUAUAAGAGAAGGGAUUACUUUUGGAGAAAGAUGUACAUGUAUAUUGCACUUAUGUAAUCUCGUCUUAAAGAAUAUGUUGUAAUGUUAGGAGAUUUCUUAGCAGUUUAGAAAUAAAGAUUAUUGAUGUAUGAAGGUGUUGCAA